RNAcentral lists this ribosomal RNA (393 nucleotides) under uncultured bacterium. RNAcentral's name for it is "bacterial SSU rRNA". It matches the Rfam family "Bacterial small subunit ribosomal RNA", at positions 29 to 404 of the family's 1533-position model. The record is from RNAcentral.
AACGAACGCUGGCGGCGUGCCUAACACAUGCAAGUCGAGCGGGAAAGUUCCCUUCGGGAGCGAGUACAGCGGCGAACGGGUGAGUAACACGUAGGUAACCUACCCUGGAGAUCGGGAUAACCUGCCGAAAGGCGGGCUAAUACCGGAUAAGACCACGAGGGCUGCGGCCCUUGAGGAAAAAGAUGGCCUCUGCUUGCAAGCUAUCACUCUGGGGAUGGGCCUGCGCGCCAUUAGCAGUUGGUGAGGUAACGGCUCACCAAGGCUGAGAUGGCUAGCUGGUCUGAGAGGAUGGCCAGCCACACUGGGACUGAGACACGGCCCAGACUCCUACGGGAGGCAGCAGUGGGGAAUCUUGCGCAAUGGGCGAAAGCCUGACGCAGCGACGCCGCGUGA